Molecule: long non-coding RNA, 1309 nt
Organism: Mesocricetus auratus (golden hamster)
Lineage: Eukaryota; Metazoa; Chordata; Mammalia; Rodentia; Cricetidae
Exons: 5
Source: RefSeq, a predicted model, not a curated record
UCCCAGAACCGUGCACUAACUGACAAUUCUGAGAGGAAUCAAUGGUUUUUAAGAGCACAUGAAGCAGGAAAGAAAAAGUGGUCUUUAAAGCAGAAUCCCCAUCUUUAUCCACCUCUGCACAUCACACCUGGGCCUGGCUGCUUAUCCUCAUGAGUCUGUGAACAGUGUUCCUUAAGGUAGAGAGAGAGUGCCAAGCUGUCUAGCGUCACCACAGUUGCCCUUGCUGAAAAGUGGUCCAGCUCUGAAGCACAUCAAGGAGAAGGUGGAAGACUGUGUUGUUUUUCUUUGAACAUCAUCUUAAAAGAUGCCAAGUCACAGAGGCAAGAACAGUAUAGACACAGACAGCAAGGGAUGAGCCUGAGGUGAGCCUGUUACCCUCCUCAGGCGGAGCAGCGUGUUUUCAAGCUUCUCUCUUUGUUCUGUUACUGAGUGAAAUGAGCUCGGUCUCCACCUAUAUUGAAUGAGACAACAGCGAGCACACAGGAAAAUGCUGCUGUGAAAUGUGAAGAUGAUACAUGUUCAGCACUUGCUAAUACUUUCUGAUAAUUUGGCUCAAUGUCUCUUGGCAAGGAAAAUGUGAGCCAGCUUCCUUCCUGUUUUCAGUCCUCCUGCUUUCUCAUUAUCUGAAUCCAGUUAAAAGAAAUCUGCUCUCAUGAUCCACACUACAAAUUCAAACACUAGGAAUGCUGUGUAUUAACAAUGAAAAGAACUAAUGAGCACAGUCUACAUGCACUGGAUCUGAGAGUCGCACAUUAUUGUCUUUGGUCCAUCUGCAUCAGUACCAUCUUGAGGUUCAGCUGCCUUUGAAGCUCCUGUACACUGGAUGGUGAAAUUCUGACAGACGUCCUACAGAUAUUUUGAGGGUGACAUGGUGCAAACUUGUCUCCCUGUCUCUCACCAGCAAGAUCCUACAGGCAAUACUGCCUACAACAUCUCAUGGUCUGCACCAGUGAUCAACCUGACAGUUUGUUACUACUUAAAGGCAGUAAUAAUUUAAUUAUGCAUUUCUUUAUAUUGUGCAUGAUAUUCAUAACAUCUUUAAUUGAGUUGAUCUGAUGUCUUUAUCUCUUUGGAUCAAUAAACCAAUUUUAAUGAACAAUGAUAACCCUUAAGUUGUGUCGUCAAUACAUACUGGUAAAAUUGCAUUUUGGAAACAUCAAAUGUAUGCUCAAAAUAAAAAUUAAAUUGAGGGCUGGUGAGAUGACCCAGCAUGUAAAAACACUAACCAACCUGGGAAAAUGAGUUCAAGCCCCAGAAUUAAUAUAAAGAUACAAAGAUAAAAUUGACUUCAAGAAUUUGUCUCUUGUUU